This 805-nucleotide ribosomal RNA is filed under the name Hypocreaceae sp. 795_2_CY03. RNAcentral describes it as "eukaryotic LSU rRNA". It matches the Rfam family "Eukaryotic large subunit ribosomal RNA", at positions 90 to 925 of the family's 3401-position model. Lineage: Eukaryota; Fungi; Ascomycota; Sordariomycetes; Hypocreales; Hypocreaceae. The record is from RNAcentral.
CGAGUGAAGCGGCAACAGCUCAAAUUUGAAAUCUGGUCCCUAGGGCCCGAGUUGUAAUUUGUAGAGGAUGCUUUUGGUGAGGUGCCGCCCGAGUUCCCUGGAACGGGACGCCACAGAGGGUGAGAGCCCCGUCUGGCUGGCCGCCGAGCCUCUGUAAAGCUCCUUCGACGAGUCGAGUAGUUUGGGAAUGCUGCUCAAAAUGGGAGGUAUAUGUCUUCUAAAGCUAAAUAUUGGCCAGAGACCGAUAGCGCACAAGUAGAGUGAUCGAAAGAUGAAAAGCACCUUGAAAAGAGGGUUAAAUAGUACGUGAAAUUGUUGAAAGGGAAGCGCUUGUGACCAGACUUGGGCGCGGCGGAUCAUCCGGGGUUCUCUCCGGUGCACUUCGCCGCGUCUAGGCCAGCAUCAGUUCGUCGCGGGGGAAAAAGGCUUCGGGAACGUGGCUCCUCCGGGAGUGUUAUAGCCCGUUGCAUAAUACCCUGCGGUGGACUGAGGACCGCGCAUCUGCAAGGAUGCUGGCGUAAUGGUCACCAGCGACCCGUCUUGAAACACGGACCAAGGAGUCGUCUUCGUAUGCGAGUGUUCGGGUGUCAAACCCNUACGCGUAAUGAAAGUGAACGCAGGUGAGAGCUUCGGCGCAUCAUCGACCGAUCCUGAUGUUCUCGGAUGGAUUUGAGUAAGAGCAUACGGGGCCGGACCCGAAAGAAGGUGAACUAUGCCUGUAUAGGGUGAAGCCAGAGGAAACUCUGGUGGAGGCUCGCAGCGGUUCUGACGUGCAAAUCGAUCGUCAAAUAUGGGCAUGGGGGCG